This 373-nucleotide ribosomal RNA is filed under the name uncultured organism. RNAcentral's name for it is "bacterial SSU rRNA". It matches the Rfam family "Bacterial small subunit ribosomal RNA", at positions 526 to 896 of the family's 1533-position model. The record is from RNAcentral.
CGAAGGGUGCGAGCGUUGUUCGGAAUUAUUGGGCGUAAAGCGCACGUAGGCGGCCUUGUAAGUCUCACUGUGAAAGUCCGGGGCUCAACCCCGGGAUGCCAGGGGAUACUGCGAGGCUGGAGACAAGCAGAGGUUGGUAGAAUUCCGGGUGUAGCGGUGGAAUGCGUAGAGAUCCGGAGGAAUACCAGAGGCGAAGGCGGCCAACUGGGCUUGUUCUGACGCUGAGGUGCGAAAGCGUGGGGAGCGAACAGGAUUAGAUACCCUGGUAGUCCACGCCGUAAACGAUGGACACUAGAUGCCGGCGGGAACGACCCCAUCGGUGUCGAAGCUAACGCAUUAAGUGUCCCGCCUGGGGAGUACGGCCGCAAGGCUG